Molecule: long non-coding RNA, 538 nt
Organism: Cannabis sativa
Lineage: Eukaryota; Viridiplantae; Streptophyta; Magnoliopsida; Rosales; Cannabaceae
Exons: 2
Source: RefSeq, a predicted model, not a curated record
UUCCAUAUAUAAAAACCUAGAAUCCCUACCUAACCCCAUUCUUCUCUUCUUCCUUAUUUCAUCUUCUUUCUUUCUCCAAUAAUUGCAGCUAGCCGGCCGUUUAUUAAAGAAAAUGAAGAAUCACAAUCGGCCACCUCCAGUCCGACCGGCCAUCCCAUCCCCACCACCGACUGUGUCCCCGUCUCCUGUCUCCCAUCAUUAAUCUCUCUCUUUAGCUUUGGGUUAAAGAUCAAAGUUGGUGUUUGGAGUUGAGAUAUUCAUAGAAACAAAUGGUGGGCGAAGAUAGAUCGACUUUUAGAGAUGAUGGCUGGGGUUUGUUUUUUUUUUUUUGUUUAAAUAUUAUUGGGAUUUAAAUAAUGGGUUUAAUUUUUAUUCUUUUUCUUUUUGAAAUAAUGAUAUUUUUUUGAGUGUACUGUUAUUUUUUUUUCUCUUUUCGUUUUAGUUAUUAUUUUUUUUAUUGUUUGUGAAUUUAAUCUUCACAUCUUCACAGUGUAUAUAUGUGUCAGUAUAUUACAUAUUCAAGGCAUUUCUUUUGCUA